This is a long non-coding RNA of Leucoraja erinaceus (little skate), 754 nucleotides long. RefSeq lists it as uncharacterized. Lineage: Eukaryota; Metazoa; Chordata; Chondrichthyes; Rajiformes; Rajidae. The record is from RefSeq and is a predicted model, not a curated record. The transcript has 3 exons.
CGGCAGAAGCUCGGUGUCACCCUCUGUGUGUGUGUGUGUGUGUGUGGGUGUGUGUGUGUGUGUGUUUUUCACGCCAUUCCGGAGUGUCCCUUCACGUUGGACGUCCCGCAAACUUCCAUGUUCGGAGAUGACAAUUUAAUCACUGUUGACUCUUUGUGGAAAAGUCAAUGACUAAGAGGACAUGAAGUGAGAGGAGCAACGUUUAAAGGGGAUGUGCCGGGCAGGGUGGCCACUCGCACCCCGGCCACUCCCUCCUCUCCCCUCUCCCAUCGGUCAAAAGAUGCUGCUGCACCCGCUGAGUUUCUCCAGCAUUUUUGUCUACCUUCAACUAAGAGACCUCCCACGUUUAACUGGAAGGAUUCGCCAAUAUAGAAAAUAACAUGGAAAGUCAUCCGUGUUUCCCCACCCUCGGCCGAUGCCCCUGUCGUUAGACAAAACAGGAUGGUGCCGCGGCGCGCUGGGAUUAAUUUAACAUCACCGCACCAACAAUGUAGAAGGCGUUCGGGGCCCGUGUACAUAAGGUGGCAAAUAUUUGCCAUGUUUCAGACACAUUCCACUCCGCCCCCGACACAACUCGCAAACUUCCAUCUCCUUUUAACACACCAAACCAAACCAACAUCCGCGGGGAGAGAAAUAUUCAGAUCAAAAACGUCAGCCAGUGAAAUAUAAGUCAAGAAUGUUUUAUUACCAUAUGUCCCAGAUAGAACAAUGACCUGUCGCAGUAUAGCAGAAUAUGUAAUCAUAGUACACUGUA